This is a long non-coding RNA of Lepus europaeus (European hare), 306 nucleotides long. RefSeq lists it as uncharacterized. The record is from RefSeq and is a predicted model, not a curated record. Lineage: Eukaryota; Metazoa; Chordata; Mammalia; Lagomorpha; Leporidae. The transcript has 3 exons.
GGGCGACGCUCGGGCUCCCCGAGGCUGCGGGGCUGGCGCUGCUGCGGGAGCCGCGCGGAGCAGGUUUUUUGAAAUAUUUUCUUUACCAAGCCAUGUCCAAAAUUACUACUCUGAAAACCUCAUAAAUACUUCAGUGUGAAGAACCCUCCGCUUAGAACAAACAUUUUGUCUUCAGACAUCUUAGGGGAGUUUGGUAAAGAAAGCAGGAAAGCAAUGGAAGAUGGCCCAAGUGGUCAGUACUCUGCACCCACGUGGGAGACCCAGAAGAAGCUCUUGGCUCCUGGUUUCAGAUCAGCUCAGCUCCGU